GAUGAACGCUAGCGGCAGGCCUAAUACAUGCAAGUCGAACGCUCAGUAGCAAUACUGGGAGUGGCGCACGGGUGCGUAACGCGUACACAAUCUACCUCUAAGCGGGGGACACCUCCUGGAAACGGGGAUUAAUACCGCAUAAUAUGCCGAAGUCGCAUGACUUUGGUAUUAAAGCAGCAAUGCACUUAGAGAUGAGUGUGCGUCCCAUUAGGUAGUUGGUGAGGUAACGGCUCACCAAGCCUAUGAUGGGUAGCCGGUCUGAGAGGAUGGUCGGCCACACGGGCACUGAGACACGGGCCCGACUCCUACGGGAGGCAGCAGUAAGGAUAUUGGUCAAUGGUGGAAACACUGAACCAGCCAUGCCGCGUGGAGGAAUAAGGUCCUACGGA
Molecule: ribosomal RNA, 389 nt
Filed under: uncultured bacterium
Lineage: Bacteria
Description: bacterial SSU rRNA
Rfam family: Bacterial small subunit ribosomal RNA
Source: RNAcentral